Long non-coding RNA from Marmota monax (woodchuck), 1703 nucleotides. RefSeq lists it as uncharacterized. The record is from RefSeq and is a predicted model, not a curated record. The transcript is spliced from 4 exons. NCBI's taxonomy places the organism in Eukaryota, Metazoa, Chordata, Mammalia, Rodentia, Sciuridae.
CCUUUGACAUCCAUCCAUCCCAUUUGAAAUAUCGAAUGGAAUGUUUCAACAAGAUCCCUGCAUUAAAGACUGAUUGAUGGCCUUUGCCCACUCCCAUCAAGUCUAGACAGUGAGUGGUUUGAUAGCCCUUUGGAGGGCAGUGAAGGUUCCUGGUUCAUACUUGAGAAUCCUGACAAUGAGAUAGCAGGGAACCAAGGCAGCAGUAUGGAUGCCCCUGGUGUGACCCUUCAGAAUAAAUCUGGGAUAAAGUAGUCAGAGGAAAACAAAUACAUGGUGUCAAGGCAGAACAGCGUUUAAGAAUUAGGUAGUGGUCACGGGGAUCAGGACCAAGGAAGCACCCAGCAGGCCUGUCGGUAAUCACUGGCUCCAUGAAAGCCUGAUCCACUGCGAUCUGCUGUGUCCAGUGGACUAUGGAGGUCCUCAAGACACCAUCUUUUGAAGGAUACAGAACCUUACCAUCACUCCCCACAUCCCCAGGUCCUCAGGGGAAAGCUGGAGGAGCCCAAAUCUUUCCAGAACCUUGAAAACCACCAUCGUGAAUAGGUGAGUGAGGAGGGUGGAUGAAGGAGUGAAUUGGCUGUGUGAUGACAAUUCCUUUUUGAAGGAAGAACGUGCAAAGUAGCAAAAAUCGAGACACAAAAAGGAGCUAACCAUUUCCUAAUUUCCUAAGCUGCGUAACCCAAAGAGGAAGAGGUCAGAACUGUAUUGAUUUCCACUGUUCUGCGCCUGGAAGACCCAUCGAGAUUCCGACGCGGGUCGGGGCAGCGUGAGCUCUUUUCGCAUCCUGCCAGCAGGCGGCACUGUGGGAGCCAAGCUCACGCUGCAGCUAAGCGCGGGAGAGGCAGUGUUCCCAGGAAGCCCUGCGUGUCUCCACGGCAACGGCGCCAGGGGCGGGUCCAGGGGGGCAGGCCCCGCCCACAACGCGGCCUCCGCUUUCAGAACUUCUCUGCUGCGGUUUGAGUGUCUCAGAUCUCCCAGACUCCACACCGGUCUUGGACCCUCGAUGGAACCUCGCAGGAGGGCUCAGGCAAUGCAGAGUCUUCAGGUGCUACCAGGUGCCGGGGCGGGGUCAUUGACAUCAGCGGGGGAAGGACUGAGAAUUGAGCCAGUUCUGUGGCUCGUGAGCAGAAAAAUGCGAAUUACAGUUUGAUCUUAUUAAAUUAAGCCCUGGACUGAGCAGCUAGUUCCAGGAAAGCAAGACAACAGUAAGCCCACAUGAGGAGGGCUGCCAUUUGGGUGGUCAUCAAAGACAGGGCUGCUCUAGAAAGUUUAUAGAAAAAGGAUAUGCGGUAUUUUCAACGACUACCCAAAGAGCUGAUGUGAAGGACCUGCACUGCCAAGAGCCUCAAACUCCUUUCUAAAGCACACACCCUCAGGGCUCUGCCCAUCUCCUGGCUCUUCAGUGUGGGGACCCUACUCCUGCUCUGUGAAGCAAGUUCCUGGGUGAAGAGCCAACCAAUGGAACAGCAGGAAAGCCACUCUGAGGCAGAAAUUUAUUUAUUACAAUUCUGGAGGCUGGGAAGUCGAAGACCAAGAUGCCUGGUGUGAGAGCCCAUCCGUGUGUGACUGACCAUUGACCCUGAGACCAAUCACUGACCCUGACCUUGGAAUGCUGUCCCCCUCGACCUUCAUUGGAUGGAAUUUUCCCCUGAAUUUCUUGUUCCCCAAUAAAAGGCCACUCCCUGGCGUGCCCUUCCUCUCUC